GAUGAACGCUGGCGGCGUGCCUAAUACAUGCAAGUCGAGCGAACGGACGAGAAGCUUGCUUCUCUGAUGUUAGCGGCGGACGGGUGAGUAACACGUGGAUAACCUACCUAUAAGACUGGGAUAACUUCGGGAAACCGGGGCUAAUACCGGAUGAUAUUUUGAACCGCAUGGUUCAAAAGUGAAAGACGGUCUUGCUGUCACUUAUAGAUGGAUCCGCGCUGCAUUAGCUAGUUGGUAAGGUAACGGCUUACCAAGGCAACGAUGCAUAGCCGACCCGAGAGGGUGAUCGGCCACACUGGAACUGAGACACGGUCCAGACUCCUACGGGAGGCAGCAGUAGGGAAUCUUCCGCAAUGGGCGAAAGCCUGACGGAGCAACGCCGCGUGAGUGAUGAAGGUCUUCGGAUCGUAAAACUCUGUUAUUAGGGAAGAACAUAUGUGUAAGUAACUGUGCACAUCUUGACGGUACCUAAUCAGAAAGCCACGGCUAACUACGUG
RNAcentral lists this ribosomal RNA (497 nucleotides) under uncultured bacterium. RNAcentral describes it as "partial 16S ribosomal RNA". It matches the Rfam family "Bacterial small subunit ribosomal RNA", at positions 28 to 507 of the family's 1533-position model. The record is from RNAcentral.